RNAcentral lists this ribosomal RNA (484 nucleotides) under uncultured bacterium. Its description in RNAcentral is "partial 16S ribosomal RNA". It matches the Rfam family "Bacterial small subunit ribosomal RNA", at positions 28 to 507 of the family's 1533-position model. The record is from RNAcentral.
GUUGAACGCUGGCGGCAUGCUUUACACAUGCAAGUCGAACGGCAGCGCGGGCUUCGGCCUGGCGGCGAGUGGCGAACGGGUGAGUAAUGCAUCGGAACGUGCCCAGUAGUGGGGGAUAGCCCGGCGAAAGCCGGAUUAAUACCGCAUACGACCUGAGGGUGAAAGCGGGGGACCGAAAGGCCUCGCGCUAUUGGAGCGGCCGAUGUCGGAUUAGCUAGUUGGUGGGGUAAAGGCUUACCAAGGCGACGAUCCGUAGCUGGUCUGAGAGGACGACCAGCCACACUGGGACUGAGACACGGCCCAGACUCCUACGGGAGGCAGCAGUGGGGAAUUUUGGACAAUGGGGGCAAACCUGAUCCAGCCAUGCCGCGUGCGGGAAGAAGGCCUUCGGGUUGUAAACCGCUUUUGUUCGGGAAGAAAUCCUCUGGGCUAAUACCCCGGGGGGAUGACGGUACCGGAAGAAUAAGCACCGGCUAACUACGUG